This 468-nucleotide ribosomal RNA is filed under the name uncultured bacterium. Its description in RNAcentral is "partial 16S ribosomal RNA". It matches the Rfam family "Bacterial small subunit ribosomal RNA", at positions 28 to 507 of the family's 1533-position model. The record is from RNAcentral.
GACGAACGCUGGCGGCGUGCUUAACACAUGCAAGUCGAACGGAAAGGCCCUGCUUUUGUGGGGUGCUCGAGUGGCGAACGGGUGAGUAACACGUGAGUAACCUGCCCUUGACUUUGGGAUAACUUCAGGAAACUGGGGCUAAUACCGGAUAGGAGCUCCUGCUGCAUGGUGGGGGUUGGAAAGUUUCGGCGGUUGGGGAUGGACUCGCGGCUUAUCAGCUUGUUGGUGGGGUAGUGGCUUACCAAGGCUUUGACGGGUAGCCGGCCUGAGAGGGUGACCGGCAACAUAGGGACUGAGAUACGGCCCAGACUCCCACGGGAGGCAUCAGUGGGAAUUUUUGCACAAUGGGCGGAAGCCUGAUGCAGCAACGCCGCGUGCGGGAUGACGGCCUUCGGGUUGUAAACCGCUUUCGCCUGUGACGAAGCGUGAGUGACGGUAAUGGGUAAAGAAGCACCGGCUAACUACGUG